GGCAUGACAGGGGAUGCGAGGGGGUGUGCUGUGCUCCCUUAGAUAGGAGGAGAAAAAGUUCCCCUUCCGCCAUUCCGGCCCCGCCUCAACCUCCGCGCCACUCUUCCCCUGCAUGGACAGUCUUUAUUAGAGUAGAGCAAAGACCAUCUAGGAUAUUGGGGGAGGAAGUUUGAAUAUAGCAAAUUCUGAUUGUAAAACACAAAAGCCAGAAGGCAGUAGAAAAAUUUUUGAACUCGCGCGCUAGCUCCAUCACCUGGACAACGACAGAGGCACGUAGCAGAAUAGUCAAUUCAUGGAGCUCGAAUGUCAUUAUGGCCUAUUCUCUUCUACAUAAAGUGAUUAUUCUAUACAACUCAAUCAUUCAUCCGUGAUCUUAUUCAAGACAGUAUGUAUUCUAUGCUUUACAUAAAAAAGAAAGAAAAUUUCAUUGAUGCUCAAGUAGCCACGUAGUCCAUGAAGGCUUCCGGGUGACUGUUAACCUUCAAAUCCUAAUAGCAAUGAGGCUGGACUGGAGUAGGCUCUCAGGUGGCAAAUUAUGGCCUAAACCCAGGUGAAAUAGUAUCUGGCGGUGUGCCCACAAGGAUGAAGACUGAAGAGGCGGGUCCUCCAUCCGCCAAUGCCGCCAUAUCUAUAUCAACAUCUAAUUUUCUUCCUUGUGCACCAGAGAUGUGCAAUGUGUUGCCUAAAUGGGCCGCCGGUAUUCCUUCCUCCCUGCUCUGCUUCUGCGGUGCCAAACCGUAUAAAGCAUUUCUGGAUUCAAGGCAUCGGCACGCACCAGAACUUUUUGGGCCAAGCAAUUACCUUAAUCAAUGAAAUCCCCCGACCACCUUAACCCAUUCGAGUUCGAAGAGAAAACAUGCGAUUCAAUAAGUAGAUUAAACUCUCAUUUUUCUCUUCCCCUUGUUACCGGAGAUAAAAGGGUAGCUGAUUGUUCAGUGGAAUUAUGAGUCGUUCGGAUUCUUGAUUCAAUGUAGAUCAACUAGUCUGCAGUUCGAGUAGAAAAAAAGUAGUAUAUCGUAAUUGCUCUCCGCCUAACAACAGGACGGACAAUUAAUUUCGUAAGAUCAUUGAGCGCAUUAAUCACUAGCCAUUGAAAAUCUCA
Molecule: non-coding RNA, 1102 nt
Organism: Coffea arabica (coffee)
Lineage: Eukaryota; Viridiplantae; Streptophyta; Magnoliopsida; Gentianales; Rubiaceae
Source: RefSeq, a predicted model, not a curated record